UUCAUUUCCUGCAGGGUGGAGAAAGAAAUGGAAAAUUGGUAUGGCUGAUAUUACGAAUGCAUUCUGAGUUUUCAUUAAGGCAUUAUCUUUAAUUACUUGGGAAAUUCAAAAGGUACUGUUAACAAUUACUUGUACAUUAUUACCAGGGUAAGAAUAUUUGCAAAAUAUUAUUUCUUUCAGAAACUUAUACUGCCUUAUCUACUGCAUACUGCAAAGACGUGGCCAGCAACAUUUCUGCCAAUGCAAGACUUUGGGAAAAAUGUCUAUCAGAGAAGCAUCCAGACUCAUGACGACCCCAUUCUGCUAGCUAGAGUGAAAACAUGUAGGAAACCCUGAUUCUUCUCCAGAGACUUUUCUUCCUCCAUUUACUUCAUGGGCAAUUGAACAAAAUACUGAAGGAAGCAAUUAUUUCAGCUAUUGUGCAAAGAUGAAUGGCAGCAGUAUUACCAUCACCUUCUUGAGAUAUAUUUUAAAAGUACAGAGAAGUAAAUUAAUAGAAAAUAAAAUAAC
Molecule: long non-coding RNA, 510 nt
Filed under: Coturnix japonica (Japanese quail)
Lineage: Eukaryota; Metazoa; Chordata; Aves; Galliformes; Phasianidae
Description: lncRNA (ENSCJPG00005015982.1)
Source: RNAcentral